CUCUUCUUAGUCUACAAGUUUGUUCCUCUAUUUGAUGCUAAAGGUGGAUGAUCUAGUUGAAACAUUUAACAAAUGAUAUUGUUAAAUAUUGUAGUAUUCUUACCUUUAGCGUCAAGAGACGAACACACCCACCCAACGGAAAAGGC
RNAcentral lists this microRNA precursor (146 nucleotides) under Sorghum bicolor (sorghum). RNAcentral describes it as "MIR6234 microRNA precursor family". The record is from Rfam by way of RNAcentral. Lineage: Eukaryota; Viridiplantae; Streptophyta; Magnoliopsida; Poales; Poaceae.